UUUUAGUUGGGGACUCAUGAGAGACUGCCGGGGUUAACUCGGAGGAAGGUGGGGAUGACGUCAAAUCAUCAUGCCCCUUAUGUCCAGGGCUUCACACAUGCUACAAUGGUCGGUACAACGCGCAGCGACACUGUGAGGUGGAGCGAAUCGCUGAAAGCCGGUCUUAGUUCGGAUUGGGGUCUGCAACUCGACCCCAUGAAGUCGGAGUCGCUAGUAAUCGUAGAUCAGCAAUGCUGC
RNAcentral lists this ribosomal RNA (237 nucleotides) under uncultured bacterium. RNAcentral's name for it is "partial 16S ribosomal RNA". It matches the Rfam family "Bacterial small subunit ribosomal RNA", at positions 1125 to 1360 of the family's 1533-position model. The record is from RNAcentral.